Long non-coding RNA from Prosopis cineraria, 554 nucleotides. RefSeq lists it as uncharacterized. NCBI's taxonomy places the organism in Eukaryota, Viridiplantae, Streptophyta, Magnoliopsida, Fabales, Fabaceae. The transcript has 3 exons. The record is from RefSeq and is a predicted model, not a curated record.
UUCUUUCUCAGGUUUCCUCUAUGUGAGCAUUAAAUCUCUCCGACUGUGAGUGCAGUGACUCCUCGAUUGCUCUUCCUCUAGCGACCGCCAAGGGAGAGGAAGUUCAUAGUGGGUGCGUGUAUUGGUGUUGGUGUUUGCAGUAAAAAGUGUGUGCCGAGACGCGUUGAGAAUCCAGAUCCAAGUCUCUCUCCCUCUUUCUUGUCUUCUUCAUCUCCAUGGAUGAAUCAAUCAGAAGGGACUGGGGGAAAUCAUUGGCUAUGGCCUAUCUUUAGGCGAGAACUACUCGAGAAAGGCUAGGGUUUGGGUGUUCAGUGCAGCUAUGUCACCAUUGGCUGAGACUUGACAGAGAAGGGUUGAAGGUGACCAAGACGAUGGAAAAGUUGUGGUCUAGGGUGUGUUGACAUUUCGCCUUGAAGAUCUACAUCGUUGCUAUAUACUAGAGGAAAUGAUGCCGUGAAGACCUUUAUUGCAGCCGUGUGUCGUUGCUGUACAGCCAAGGAUGCAACGCCGUAAAGACCUCCACUGCUGCAGUGAAGACCGCUGUUUUCUGCCAU